This 484-nucleotide ribosomal RNA is filed under the name uncultured bacterium. Its description in RNAcentral is "partial 16S ribosomal RNA". It matches the Rfam family "Bacterial small subunit ribosomal RNA", at positions 30 to 507 of the family's 1533-position model. The record is from RNAcentral.
AUUGAACGCUGGCGGCAGGCCUAACACAUGCAAGUCGAGCGGAUGAAGGGAGCUUGCUCCUGGAUUCAGCGGCGGACGGGUGAGUAAUGCCUAGGAAUCUGCCUGGUAGUGGGGGAUAACGUCCGGAAACGGGCGCUAAUACCGCAUACGUCCUGAGGGAGAAAGUGGGGGAUCUUCGGACCUCACGCUAUCAGAUGAGCCUAGGUCGGAUUAGCUAGUUGGUGGGGUAAAGGCCUACCAAGCCGACGAUCCGUAACUGGUCUGAGAGGAUGAUCAGUCACACUGGAACUGAGACACGGUCCAGACUCCUACGGGAGGCAGCAGUGGAGAAUAUUGGACAAUGGGCGAAAGCCUGAUCCAGCCAUGCCGCGUGUGUGAAGAAGGUCUUCGGAUUGUAAAGCACUUUAAGUUGGGAGGAAGGGCAGUAAGUUAAUACCUUGCUGUUUUGACGUUACCAACAGAAUAAGCACCGGCUAACUUCGUG